Molecule: ribosomal RNA, 1488 nt
Filed under: uncultured bacterium
Lineage: Bacteria
Description: bacterial SSU rRNA
Rfam family: Bacterial small subunit ribosomal RNA
Source: RNAcentral
AGAGUUUGAUCCUGGCUCAGGAUUAACGCUAGCGGCAGGCCUAACACAUGCAAGUCGAGGGGCAGCACGGGGUAGCAAUACUCUGGUGGCGACCGGCAGACGGGUGAGUAACGCGUAUGCAACCUACCCUGUACAGGGGGAUANNNNNNNGAAAUGUGGAUUAAUAUCUCAUAGUUCUAUUAGAUCGCAUCUUUUGAUAGAUAAAGCUCCGGCGGUUAAAGAUGGGCAUGCGUGACAUUAGCUAGUUGGUGAGGUAACGGCUCACCAAGGCUACGAUGUCUAGGGGUUCUGAGAGGAUGAUCCCCCACACUGGUACUGAGACACGGACCAGACUCCUACGGGAGGCAGCAGUGAGGAAUAUUGGUCAAUGGGCGCAAGCCUGAACCAGCCAUCCCGCGUGCAGGAUGACGGCCCUAUGGGUUGUAAACUGCUUUUAUACACCAAGAAAAAUCUCCACGUGUGGGGACCCGACGGUAGUGUAUGAAUAAGCAUCGGCUAACUCCGUGCCAGCAGCCGCGGUAAUACGGAGGAUGCAAGCGUUAUCCGGAUUCAUUGGGUUUAAAGGGUGCGUAGGCGGCUUUUUAAGUCAGUGGUGAAAUCCUGUCGCUUAACGAUAGAAUUGCCAUUGAUACUGAGAAGCUUGAGUACAGUUGAGGUAAGCGGAAUGUGUAGUGUAGCGGUGAAAUGCUUAGAUAUUACACAGAACACCGAUUGCGAAGGCAGCUUACUAAACUGUUACUGACGCUGAUGCACGAAAGCGUGGGGAGCGAACAGGAUUAGAUACCCUGGUAGUCCACGCCGUAAACGAUGCUCACUCGCUGUUUGCGGGUAUUGACCAUGCGGCCAAGCGAAAGCAUUAAGUGAUCCACCUGUGGAGUACGAUCGCAAGGUUGAAACUCAAAGGAAUUGACGGGGGCCCGCACAAGCGGAGGAACAUGUGGUUUAAUUCGAUGAUACGCGAGGAACCUUACCUGGGCUUAAAUGUAGGCUGCAUAGAGGGGAAACUCUCUUUUCCUUCGGGACUACUUACAAGGUGCUGCAUGGUUGUCGUCAGCUCGCGCCGUGAGGUGUCGGGUUAAGUCCCACAACGAGCGCAACCCUUACAGCUAGUUGCCAGCACGUAAUGGUGGGGACUCUAGCGAGACUGCCACCGUAAGGUGAGAGGAAGGUGGGGAUGACGUCAAAUCAGCACGGCCCUUAUGUCCAGGGCGACACACGUGCUACAAUGGCCGAUACAAAGGGCAGCUACCAGGUGACUGGAUGCGAAUCUUUAAAAUCGGUCUCAGUUCGGAUCGGAGUCUGCAACUCGACUCCGUGAAGUCGGAUUCGCUAGUAAUCGCGCAUCAGCCAUGGCGCGGUGAAUACGUUCCCGGGCCUUGUACACGCCGCCCGUCAAACCAUGGGAGCUGGGGGUGCCUGAAGUCUGCCACCGCAAGGAGCGGCCUAGGGUAAAACCAGUGACUGGGGUUAAGUCGUAACAAGGUAACC